AUUUGUUGAUUUAUGCUUCACCUCUUUUUCUGUAGAUCAUCUCCAAUUCCCGCAAUUAUGUAUAUAGCCAUUUUACUUGCCAAGAUUAUAUUAUAUGUGUUUACUAAUUGUGCAGUUGUCUGGUGGCAUGUCACAGCAGAAUGCAGCAUCAUUUGAUAAAAAUCAGACUAGCCCUGCUCUCAAACAGAGCCAGCGACGCGAGGCCAG
Molecule: unclassified non-coding RNA, 207 nt
Filed under: Hevea brasiliensis (rubber tree)
Lineage: Eukaryota; Viridiplantae; Streptophyta; Magnoliopsida; Malpighiales; Euphorbiaceae
Source: RNAcentral